This 245-nucleotide ribosomal RNA is filed under the name uncultured bacterium. RNAcentral's name for it is "partial 16S ribosomal RNA". It matches the Rfam family "Bacterial small subunit ribosomal RNA", at positions 524 to 768 of the family's 1533-position model. The record is from RNAcentral.
UACAGAGACUGCAAGCGUUAUUCGGAUUCACUGGGCGUAAAGGGUGCGCGGGCGGCUGAAUGUGUCAGGUGUGAAAGCCUGGGGCUCAACCCCAGAAUUGCGCCUGAAACUGUUCAGCUAGAGUGCCGGAGAGGAUAGCGGAAUUCACGGUGUAGCAGUGAAAUGCGUAGAUAUCGUGAAGAACACCAGCGGCGAAGGCGGCUAUCUGGAAGGCGACUGACGCUCAGGCACGAAAGCGUGGGGAG